Molecule: ribosomal RNA, 506 nt
Filed under: uncultured bacterium
Lineage: Bacteria
Description: partial 16S ribosomal RNA
Rfam family: Bacterial small subunit ribosomal RNA
Source: RNAcentral
GGUUAAUGCUGGCGGCAGGCCUAACACAUGCAAGUCGGACGGUAGCACAGGGGAGCUUGCUCCUCGGGUGACGAGUGGCGGACGGGUGAGUAAUGUCUGGGGAUCUGCCCGAUAGAGGGGGAUAACCACUGGAAACGGUGGCUAAUACCGCAUAAUGUCGCAAGACCAAAGAGGGGGACCUUCGGGCCUCUCACUAUCGGAUGAGCCCAGAUGGGAUUAGCUAGUAGGCGGGGUAACGGCCCACCCAGGCGACGAUCCCUAGCUGGUCUGAGAGGAUGACCAGCCACACUGGAACUGAGACACGGUCCAGACUCCUACGGGAGGCAGCAGUGGGGAAUAUUGCACAAUGGGCGCAAGCCUGAUGCAGCCAUGCCGCGUGUAUGAAGAAGGCCUUCGGGUUGUAAAGUACUUUCAGCGGGGAGGAAGGCGAUGUGGUUAAUAACCGCAUUGAUUGACGUUACCCGCAGAAGAAGCACCGGCUAACUCCGUGCCAGCAGCCGCAGUAA